This 301-nucleotide ribosomal RNA is filed under the name uncultured bacterium. Its description in RNAcentral is "partial 16S ribosomal RNA". It matches the Rfam family "Bacterial small subunit ribosomal RNA", at positions 509 to 807 of the family's 1533-position model. The record is from RNAcentral.
CAGCCGCCGCGGUAAUACGAGGGGGGCGAGCGUUGUUCGGAAUUAUUGGGCGUAAAGGGUGCGUAGGCGGUUUGACAAGUCUUAUGUGAAAUCUCUGGGCUCAACCCAGAGUCUGCAUGGGAAACUGUCGAGCUUGAGUAUGGGAGAGGUGAGUGGAAUUUCCGGUGUAGCGGUGAAAUGCGUAGAUAUCGGAAGGAACACCUGUGGCGAAAGCGGCUCACUGGACCAUUACUGACGCUGAUGCACGAAAGCUAGGGGAGCAAACAGGAUUAGAUACCCCCGUAGUCCCUGUCUCUUAUAC